CGAUGAGGUAGAGGUCGCAGCAUGAAUCAGUACAACCGGAGCAGGCGUAGAGCCGCCGCGAAUCCCGGUUGAAAAGGUCCUGCUGCCGAAGUGCAGAUUCCGCUCUGGGAAUCCUGUGCUGGGGCUGUACCCGAAAGGGACAGAACUGUCACAAUGAAAAAAUCCAAGCAUUUCAUUGUGUUGAGCUAUCUUAAAG
This 196-nucleotide non-coding RNA is filed under the name Paenibacillus bovis. Its description in RNAcentral is "Lysine sequence". It matches the Rfam family "Lysine riboswitch aptamer". From Rfam's summary of the family: Riboswitches are metabolite binding domains within certain messenger RNAs that serve as precision sensors for their corresponding targets. Allosteric rearrangement of mRNA structure is mediated by ligand binding, and this results in modulation of gene expression. Lineage: Bacteria; Bacillati; Bacillota; Bacilli; Caryophanales; Paenibacillaceae. The record is from Rfam by way of RNAcentral.